AUUCGCACCAAGGGCUUGAGACAGUUUGCGUGACUCGCCCCAUCUUGGCUGCUGGACCUAUCUGCUCUCCCCCGACUCUCGAGGGCUGUCAAAUCAAGAAUGAUCUACAAGUCAGCUGGUGUCUACAAAGCCUCUAGAUGAACUCUGAUGAUCCAGCACUCCAAAACCCUGGCCUACUUCAUCUCAGCACCUUGAUAACAUAUAAGUUGCCGGUCAUCUUCCUGUCUCCGCAAAGGUUUGGCACCAAUCAGUACUAUGAAUGAGAAAAGGGGAGAGAUGGAUAUCCCAAGUUACAUUCAUGCCAAAUGAAGAUCUGAUAACCUAAGUGAGCAUUAACAGAGAUUUCACAGGGGGUUGAACUCAAAAAGGUGGCAGCAAUGCAUAGUCAUCGCGAAGUACCUAGCAGUAAAACUGUACUGAACUUGAAGAACCAACAUCACUGCAGCCAGUACCAUAUUGCAUUACAAAAAGUGACUGCAUUUCAGCAAAAUAACAACAUACAUCAUAUUAAAUUAGUGUGGUAAAUUUGUAUUUUUAUUUGGGUUACAGAAUGUUAAAUCUGAUUUGCAAAAUCAAUUUUAAUGGCUAUUUGGAAUACAAGGAAGUUCUACGUUUGAACGUACUUAAGUAAUCUCAUAAUAAAAAUAACU
Molecule: non-coding RNA, 650 nt
Organism: Callithrix jacchus (white-tufted-ear marmoset)
Lineage: Eukaryota; Metazoa; Chordata; Mammalia; Primates; Cebidae
Source: RefSeq, a predicted model, not a curated record